CCGGCGCACGGGUGCGUAACACGUGUACAAUCUACCUUUUGCUAAGGGAUAGCCCGAAGAAAUUUGGAUUAAUACCUUAUAGUAUUGUUUGGUGGCAUCACUGAAUAAUUAAAGCUCUGGUGGCAAAAGAUGAGUACGCGUCCCAUUAGCUAGUUGGUGUGGUAACGGCAUACCAAGGCUACGAUGGGUAGGGGUCCUGAGAGGGAGGUCCCCCACACUGGUACUGAGACACGGACCAGACUCCUACGGGAGGCAGCAGUGAGGAAUAUUGGACAAUGGUCGGAAGACUGAUCCAGCCAUGCCGCGUGCAGGAUGACGGCCUUAUGGGUUGUAAACUGCUUUUAUACAGGAAGAAUAAGGUCUACGCGUAGAUUGAUGACGGUACCGUAUGAAUAAGCAUCGGCUAACUCCGUGCCAGCAGCCGCGGUAAUACGGAGGAUGCGAGCGUUAUCCGGAAUCAUUGGGUUUAAAGGGUCCGUAGGCGGGCUUAUAAGUCAGAGGUGAAAGCACUGAGCUCAACUGAGUAACUGCCUUUGAAACUGUAGGUCUUGAAUGUUUGUGAAGUAUCUGGAAUGUGUAGUGUAUCGGUGAAAUGCAUAUAUAUUACACAGAACACCGAUUGCGAAGGCAUGUUACUAACAAAUUAUUGACGCUGAUGGACGAAAGCGUGUGGAGCGAACAGGAUUAUAUACCCUGGUAGUCCACGCUGUAUACGAUGGAUACUAUCUGUUUGUGAGUAAUUUUGAGUGGGUAAGCGAAAGUGAUAAGUAUCUCACCUGGGGAGUACGCACGCACGUGUGAAACUCACAGGAAUUGACAGGGGGCCCGCACACGCGGUGGAGCAUGUGGGUUUAAUUCUAUGAUACGCGAGGAACCUUACCAAGGUUUAAAUGUGAAACGACGUAUCUAGAGAUAUGUAUUUCUUCGGACUUUUUUCAA
Molecule: ribosomal RNA, 939 nt
Filed under: Capnocytophaga canimorsus
Lineage: Bacteria; Pseudomonadati; Bacteroidota; Flavobacteriia; Flavobacteriales; Flavobacteriaceae
Description: bacterial SSU rRNA
Rfam family: Bacterial small subunit ribosomal RNA
Source: RNAcentral